CUGAGUUUAUGGUAACUCCUUACACAGUAACAGAAAACGAAUACACUGUGUGUGGGCAUGUUUGCAUUAUGCCUAGAUUCUCUGUUAAGCGUUUUAACUUGUCAGUUCCUUUGCAUAUAUAUUCUAAAAUGACAGUGACAGCUAAAGAAGAAUAAUGCUGUCUUGUAUAUAGACAGAUGAAAUGCCUGUCUCUCCAUCAUUAAAACACUUUGGUUGCUUUUUGGGAGUUGGGGGUUGUUGCAAGGAGCCACCUGCCUUCUGAGGUCCCACCUGUAUGGAGACCAUUUGCCUACCUAAGGGAAGUAGCUGAAGAACUUCAGGAGGAAAUCGUGGCACAAAUGGCCUGACAUUAAAUUCAGUUCUCCAUCUUAAAUUGACUCUUUGAUGUCGCUCAGAGAAGCUCAGUGAAAUGUACAUUUAACAUUCUUCGUUCUGUAUAUUUUGAUCUUUCCAUCUGACUCUGGUAUGUUUGUGCCUCUCCCCUCUGGAAGAGUUGGUUUGCUUUUAUUCCACUUAUUUUUAUUCUGUAGAAUACUUGAAGAGGUUUUGGGAGCCUAUGAGGACAGUGUAAUGCUUCCCUAACAGACAUUCCAGAUGGCCUAACCAUUUAGGACAGGAAAUGCAGAUCCCUGCCACAAGAAUUUUUGGAAGUCCUGCCAUUUUCUCAGGAUCUGGCUGGGAUGUGAGCCAGACCCCUGAAGGCUCAGACUUCUGCUAAUACCUCUUUUUCCUUGCGGAACUGCCAGAACUGGAGGAAAUACUUUAUUUUUCCCUUCAGAAUGCACUUACAGCGUCAGCCUGAAACUUUUUGUAGUCUUAGGAAUCAAAUGCAGUGUAAGCCGCCCUCUCACUGGAGUCAGUUGAUAAUGUCUUCAGAAUCCUCUCUCUUUCAGUUCUUGCAGAGUGUAACUCCUUCUCCCUUGUGAUCGCACUUCUGCCAGAAGAACGAACAAGCACCACUCUGAACUUUUGACCUGGUACUUUAAGUGCAUUUGAAUCCAUAAAACGCAGAGAAAAUGGCCUUUGUCGUCACUAACUCCCUCCUGCUCAUCUACUAACGGACAAUCAGCACAGCAUUGCAAAAGGCACCUCAACCAGGGAACAGGGAUGUGGCCAGGAGGGGAAGGAAGAGGAAGGACUUUGUGCUCUGAAGCUGCAGGCAUGGGAGACGGAAGCCCAAUAUAGAAGGGUCCUGCUGCUGAGUUGCUCCAUGUGACUGCCACCUACCCUUUUCUCCUUUUGUAAGAGGGACAGCAGGCCUUUGCUUUCCAACUUUACAGGUUAUAAAACUGUGAUUCAGAGAGAUUGGUAUUGCUUCGGAGCCCUUGGGGUGUCUCCCUUUAGGUUAGAUUGUAAAUGACUGUGAAAAUGUGUCUAUCUUUUGUGGUCUCAGUUUCUCUCAAUAGCUUUUCAUCACACCCACUUUCAUUUUUCCCCAUCCUCCAAGAAGUCCCUGGGGUCAUUAUACAAUUUAAAAGAGCAACACUUAAGAGCUUGGACAACUAUUGGUACCAGUGGAGUUAACUGCACAUAAUUUUGCAUCCACAAGAGCUGGAUUUAAAUGUAAAUUCAUUUUCCAAAUGAUUUGUUGGAAGAAUACUUCCAGAAGAAUACUAGUUGUAUGUUUUUUGUCUUUGGAGAUUUUCUUAGCCUUUUUACUCUUAUCUCAAAUCAUAGCCCUUCUUUCUUUCUUAUAAAUCCUCAAAAAAUUCUACUGCCUUAGUGAAUAAUUGUAAUAAAAAGAUGUAGGGUUCUAAUAUUAAUGUUUAAAGUGGGAACUAAGUGGGUAAAAGGUGCCAUCAACCUGGUUUCUUUCAAGAAAUGUACAAAGAUGGAGCUGAGAUAGAAACAUGAUUUUGAUUUUGGAAAAUUGUUUAGCUUAUCUCAGCCUCAGUUUUCUCAUCUAUAAAUUGGGACUGAUACCAUUGACCUUAGAGAAUAGUUGUGCAAAUUAAAUAAAAUUAUAAGGAGUUCUUGCUACUAUACUCAUAAUUCAUUAAAUAUAAGCACCUAUCACC
Long non-coding RNA from Bubalus bubalis (water buffalo), 2018 nucleotides. RefSeq lists it as uncharacterized. The transcript has 2 exons. NCBI's taxonomy places the organism in Eukaryota, Metazoa, Chordata, Mammalia, Artiodactyla, Bovidae. The record is from RefSeq and is a predicted model, not a curated record.